CCUACGGUGGGCAGCAGUGAGGAAUAUUGGUCAAUGGCCGGAAGGCUGAACCAGCCAAGCCGCGUGAAGGACGAAGGUGCCAAGCAUUGUAAACUUCUUUUGUCAAGGGACAAAAUCAGGCUCGAGAGCCUGACCGAGGGUACUUGAAGAAAAAGCAUCGGGUAACUCCGUGCCAGCAGCCGCGGUAAUACGGAGGAUGCGAGCGUUAUCCGGAUUUAUUGGGUUUAAAGGGUGCGUAGGCGGACUGUUCAGUCAGCCGUAAAAGCCCGGGGCUAAACCCCGGCGAGCCGUUGAAACUGGCUGUGUUGGGAUGUCGAGAGGUAUGCGGAAUGCGCGGUGUAGCGGGGAAGUGCGUAGAUAUUGCGCAGAA
This 370-nucleotide ribosomal RNA is filed under the name uncultured bacterium. Its description in RNAcentral is "partial 16S ribosomal RNA". It matches the Rfam family "Bacterial small subunit ribosomal RNA", at positions 338 to 706 of the family's 1533-position model. The record is from RNAcentral.